AGCGCACGGAGGGACAUAUGCUGAAUGCUCCCAGGAGAGACCCAGGAGGUGAAGCCGUGUGAGCAUCUUGCCCUGAAGACAGUCUGCUCCGAGGGAGAGGAGGCUCCCCAGAGUCCUGACUGGCUUUGUGGGGAGCAGUUCCAGAGCAUCGCCCGGGGACUCCGUGACACGUGUAAUUAAAGCAGAUGUUUGUGCUUUGCAGUGCCUGGCGUCAGUGUCCUUGGCGCCUCGGUGAGUGGCCUGACGCACUGAUCCUGGAGACGUUCAGCACCUGCCAACCCUGCCGGCUUCCCAGCAGAGCCAGAGGCCCCAGGUUCGAAGGCUGUGACUAUUAUUAUUUGUGUUCUGACAGCACCGAGAGCCCUCCACUGAAAUCAGGGUCCCCCCUUGUAGGCCCAUCUCUGAGAGGAGCCCCCCAGCCAUUCCCCAGCACCCCACACCAUGCUGAUGCCUUGUCCCGCCUCCAUUACCUGACAUUGCGUGUUCACCUGCUCUCAGCGUCCUGGCCGAAUCUCCGCCCUUGCUGGGACCCUGAACCUCCAGCUUCUCUGGCCUGGGCCAGAGCUUGGCUGAGCCUGGGACCUACACACUGGGCUUUGGUGUGUAGGGCGGGAAGGCGGGGGGGAGCCCUUGCCCCGGGUGAUGGGACACAACUGGCUGCAGGUUCAGCCCAAACAAUCAGGGAACUUUUCCAAACAGGGAGACAGGGAGAGUUCAGGCUCAUCUGGCCACAUGCUGAGUUCCUGGAUCUCCCCGGGCAGAGCGCCUCCUGCAGGGAGUCCUGCCUCCAGCCCACACCUCCUGGCACCGCGGUCAGCCCAAGAUGGUCAGUCGUGAGGUACAGACUCCAUGCGAGGAAGGAAGCCUCCACCACACCCCAGGUCAGUGCUGUCAGGCAGCGGAGAGAAGCCCCAUUGAAAAGUGGCCCCGACGCAGGACUGGAGAAGUUGGACCAAUGGAAGGGACCUCGAGAGAUCACGAAUCCAGCCCCCUGCGUGGAGGCAGCGCCAUGUAACCCUAGACCAUCCCUGACA
This 1034-nucleotide long non-coding RNA is filed under the name Chrysemys picta bellii (western painted turtle). RNAcentral describes it as "lncRNA (ENSCPBG00000018093.1)". Lineage: Eukaryota; Metazoa; Chordata; Testudines; Emydidae. The record is from RNAcentral.